UUCGAAAAGAACACACUUACCUUUCCUUAUUUUUUAAUUUAUUUAUUUAUUUAUUUAUUUUUUUUGUUUUCGUUUCUGUCAACACUAACACCGACAACAAUGAUGAAAAUUAACCGGUGGCACGAUCUUGUGGCAUUACUAUGACAAUGACAUAUCAAUAAAUGACGUUUGGGCAAAGAUCGUGCCAUGUGCAGCUACGAUAAGCCUUUGAGCGCCGCACAGACAUCAGUCGACCCCGUGCUUGUUCAACAAAGACAGAGCCCCACUGAGGUUACCGUUAACCUAACCCUUUCACGAACGGAAUCUGACCUGGCCACCCACGAGAAAGUGAGCGAAUGCCAAAAUGAGUGCAAAUAUGUUGACAUUGAUGACACUCAUCGAAAGUCGAGGUCAGCAUACGAGGAGUUUUUAGAUGUUCAGGAACGAACACGAAAUAACUCAAUGGUGAGUGGGGAGAGAGGAAUAAAGCAGCCACCUAGUUUUCAUGAUGAAAAAGGAGAAAACGAGGAUCAUGUUUACGCUGUAGUACACAAAUAAAGAAAAGGCAGAGCCGGUUCUGAAGGAAGCGCCCUCAAAAAGCCUUCGGACCACCCUGAGAAAGGAACCAGUGGGUUAUCUGUGAACCCGGCGUCCUGUAUAGAGAUCGAGGACUACACAAAGGCCGCCGUGAACGAGACACUCCAGGCUGGCAAGAACGCAGAACACUUGUAUGAAGUUCUUGACAACACAAACAAGAAGGAUCAUGAUUACGCUGUAGUUCACAAACAAAGAAAUGGUAGAGUCUGUUCUGAAACUUGCGCCCUCAAAGAAUCUCCGGGCCGUCCUCAGAAAGGAACUAGUGGGUUACCUGUGAACCGGGCGUCCUGUGUAGGGAUCGAAGAGACACCUCAGGCUAGUGAGAAAGCAGAAUACUUGUAUGCAGUUGUUGACAAGAGAAACAAGAAGAAGAAAGCGCCACAGGUGCCCACUCCCUACCGUGGUCUUGUAUACCCAGUUCUGGUCCAUUCCCGAGGAAACAGUGCCUAGCUUGUCCAAGGACAGUCCGAAACAUUAUACUCCCACAAUGAUAACGUCAAGACAGCAAGCAUGAAGAUAUCACGGCAGGGUCUAGAGGAACGAAGGAAAGGGAACAUUAGUGAACUCUGUUUGUUUCCAAUCCUAAACAUGAUUUAAAUAUAAACAUAAAAAGUUAACUCAAAGCUUAAAGAAAAUAAUAACAUAUCAUUGUUGUGGAGACAGUAAACUGUAAUCAUUUGUUUUGUAACUUCAAAUACCGGACUAUUUUGCUAGAAAUAAUUUUCAGUGAAUUGUACCAAAAUGGUUGUAACAACAUCAACUGUUGUGUAUCAGAAUGCUCAGGAUUAUUCUCUUUAGGUGCAUAUAAAACGGAAAAAAUCAGAAUUACUUACUGAUUGUAAGUAGUAAUAAAUCGGCGUUUCGCGCAUAGGCCUACCGAAGGAAAAAGUUUUAAAGUUAAAUGCACUUUGUACUUGGUGUUUGUUUUCAUACAAUAGGGAAGAUUUCGUUCCACAUAGAGUCGGUGUACCGAGUAAAGUUCAAAAAUUUGUAAAUAUCCCGAAUGUCUUUGUCCUUUUAAAAAGUAAGUCAUACACUCUCGAGAUCUGAUGAUAUUGAAUUAAACUACAGCGUCUAAUUGUUAUACCUGUU
Long non-coding RNA from Stylophora pistillata, 1668 nucleotides. RefSeq lists it as uncharacterized. The record is from RefSeq and is a predicted model, not a curated record. NCBI's taxonomy places the organism in Eukaryota, Metazoa, Cnidaria, Anthozoa, Scleractinia, Pocilloporidae.